This 65-nucleotide transfer RNA is filed under the name Ictidomys tridecemlineatus (thirteen-lined ground squirrel). RNAcentral describes it as "Spermophilus tridecemlineatus (thirteen-lined ground squirrel) tRNA". It matches the Rfam family "tRNA". From Rfam's summary of the family: Transfer RNA (tRNA) molecules are approximately 80 nucleotides in length. Their secondary structure includes four short double-helical elements and three loops (D, anti-codon, and T loops). Further hydrogen bonds mediate the characteristic L-shaped molecular structure. tRNAs have two regions of fundamental functional importance: the anti-codon, which is responsible for specific mRNA codon recognition, and the 3' end, to which the tRNAs corresponding amino acid is attached (by aminoacyl-tRNA synthetases). tRNAs cope with the degeneracy of the genetic code in two manners: having more than one tRNA (with a specific anti-codon) for a particular amino acid; and 'wobble' base-pairing, i.e. permitting non-standard base-pairing at the 3rd anti-codon position. The record is from Rfam by way of RNAcentral. Lineage: Eukaryota; Metazoa; Chordata; Mammalia; Rodentia; Sciuridae.
GGAGAGCUCAGUGGUAGAGUGCUUGUCUAGCAUACAUGAGGCCCUGGGUUCUAUCCCCAGCACCA